RNAcentral lists this ribosomal RNA (827 nucleotides) under Arthothelium ruanum. Its description in RNAcentral is "SSU rRNA". It matches the Rfam family "Bacterial small subunit ribosomal RNA", at positions 325 to 1150 of the family's 1533-position model. Lineage: Eukaryota; Fungi; Ascomycota; Arthoniomycetes; Arthoniales; Arthoniaceae. The record is from RNAcentral.
CACGAUGUAGUUUUUUUUAGCUGCGGCAGGUUAUCUUUAAUAGGACCCUUGCACAACAAGGGACCUAUGGGAUAGCAAGAGGUUCGGCCUCUUUUUUGAAGCUUCGGCUAUAAGCGAUUUAUUCGCAUAAUGUUCCAUGUAGAAUAUAGAUAAUGACUACUUUCUAUGUGAAAGUCUUGACUAAAACACGUGCCAGCAGUCGCGGCAACACGAGACAGACAAGUGUUAUUCAUCUUUAAUAGGUUUAAAGGGUACCUAGACGGCAAUUUUGACCCCCACUGAGUUGGGAUGGUAUCUUCUUGCUAGAGUUUUAUGUGAGAGGAAUUUAGUACUAACAGAGUAGAGAUGAAAUUUUUUGAUACUGUAGGGCACUGGUAACGGCGAAGGCAGACCUUUAUGUAAAAACUGACGUUGAGGGACGAAGGCUUGGGUAACAAACAGGAUUAGAUACCCUAAUAGUCCAGGCAGAGAAUGAUGAGUGCCAUAGGUUAGAGUUAUUUGAUCUAUAAAUGAAAGUGAAAGCAUUCCACCUUAAGAGUAAUGCGGCAACGCAGGAACUGAAAUCAUUAGACCGUUUCUGAUACCAGUAGUGAAGUAUGUUGUUUAAUUCGAUGAUCCACGAAAAAUCUUACCACAAUUUGAAUGUUAUAGCAACAAAAAAGGAAAGUCUUUUUAUAAUUUAUUAUUGAAACGAUGUAAUUGCUAUUAAUACAGGUGUUGCAUGGCUGUCUUCAGUUGAUGUCGUGAGGCGCGGGUUAGCCCCCGGAAUAAUCAACGUGAACCUAUACUUUAUUUUUAUUGAUAUUAUCAAUGACAUAGAGUAGCUU